Potamilus streckersoni is the source of this 73-nucleotide non-coding RNA. The record is from the annotation of a GenBank genome assembly. NCBI's taxonomy places the organism in Eukaryota, Metazoa, Mollusca, Bivalvia, Unionida, Unionidae.
GACCGCUCCAGUGGCUUAGUGGUUAAAACGUCCGCUUCGAUUGCGGGAGCCGGUUUGAACCCCAGCUGAGUCA